CGAGAGCACCGGGAUGGACGCACCGCUGGUUUCCCCGUUGUUCUGCCAAGGGCAUCGCUGGGUCGCUUUGUGCGGACGGGAUAAGUGCUGAAAGCAUCUAAGCAUGAAGCCCCCCUCAAGAUGAGAUUUCCCAUUCCGCAAGGAAGUAAGAUCCCUGAAAGAUGAUCAGGUUGAUAGGUCUGAGGUGGAAGUGUGGCGACACAUGGAGCUGACAGAUACUAAUCGAUCGAGGACUUAACCAU
Molecule: ribosomal RNA, 242 nt
Filed under: Bacillus siamensis
Lineage: Bacteria; Bacillati; Bacillota; Bacilli; Caryophanales; Bacillaceae
Description: partial 23S ribosomal RNA
Rfam family: Bacterial large subunit ribosomal RNA
Source: RNAcentral